Molecule: long non-coding RNA, 1201 nt
Organism: Myxocyprinus asiaticus (Chinese sucker)
Lineage: Eukaryota; Metazoa; Chordata; Actinopteri; Cypriniformes; Catostomidae
Exons: 2
Source: RefSeq, a predicted model, not a curated record
UUGUAUUGAACCCGGAAUAUUCCUUUAACCAAUAACCACUGGCGGAAUUGUGAAGAAACCAUCUAAUUGAACAACUUAAAUGCUAAUGUUUAUUUCAACUUUAAUUGAAAUUGAAAACGUUUAUAUUUUAUAAUCUAUAUCAUUUCAAAUUAUUUUUAUUCUACCUUUAUUCUCAUCCUCAUCUGUAAUUUCAUUAAUAAUGUAAUUCAUUAUAAUUUAUUUGUCUGAUUUUCCUGUUUGCAGUAAUGGAGUGUUUUGUGGAUGCAGUUCUUACGCCUAUACAUGAGGUGGCGCAUGUUGCUUCUUGUCUGCAGAAAUCGAGCUACACAGUAAAGCGCUGAAGAAGCAAAGCCACGUUUCCACAUCCACGCUGCGGUUGAGACUGAGUGCGCAGGCUGUGCAGAUCUGAAGUGAAGUUACAAGCGGGCGUUAAGAUGAAAGAACCAUUUUUGAUUGUUUAAAGAGCGCUUGAGAGAAUGAUCAAUGCUACGUUAUCGAUUGAACAUCGACAACAAAUGAGCUCUCAUUGUCAGCGGAGUCUGAUUAUAUGAUCAGACUGAAUCAGGUGAGUAUAUAUGCGGACAAACAGCCUUAACACUACAAUUAUGAAAUCAAAUUAAUGACUUUAAAGGAAUUAGAACGAAGUUCAAAAUAUUUUAGUUGCUGAUUUUUUUGUUUGCUGAUUUUAGCGUGCUGAGCACGUGGGCGCGCUCAUGAGCACGUGACUGAUCUCAGCUUUUGUAUGAAUGUACUUGGGUAGAAAGUAUUGAUUUCAAAUGCAUUCAAGGCUUUAUCGUGUUUAAUUAUGUAAAAUCAUUGAUUUAUUUUUAUCAAUUAGAAUUACUGAUGUUCACGGUGGAGUUCGUCAGUGACUAAAGGAUUAAAAGGUGGAUUUCAAAAGCCCUGAUGACUUGAGGUUUGUAUGCGUCUAUGCUUUGUUCACUGUUAUGGCAUUGGACCUUAUUCAUGAAACUCAAGCAGAACACAUUUCUGUUAAUCGUUCAUAAAUUCAUUAUAACAAAGUGUUUACAACUAGUGAAAUUUCAGUCAAAUCAAUAAUUGCAACUUCAGUUUCAGGGUGUUUCAUUUGUGAUGUUAUAGUUUUUAUUGGGCAGAUUAAAUGUACAUUUGAUAGAAGCAUUUUCAAUUAAACUGUGUGGAUUGAACAUGUGUUGGUGUAAUAAACAAAAUGAACAAUUUG